AACGAACGCUGGCGGCAGGCUUAACACAUGCAAGUCGAACGAUAUAGUGGCAGACGGGUGAGUAACGCGUGGAAACGUACCUUUCACUACGGAAUAGCACUUGGAAACGAGUGGUAAUAC
Molecule: ribosomal RNA, 120 nt
Filed under: uncultured bacterium
Lineage: Bacteria
Description: partial 16S ribosomal RNA
Rfam family: Bacterial small subunit ribosomal RNA
Source: RNAcentral